UCCCAGUUCGGAUUGUAGUCUGNAACCCGACUACAUGAAGCUGGAAUCGCUAGUAAUCGCGAAUCAGAAUGUCGCGGUGAAUACGUUCCCGGGUCUUGUACACACCGCCCGUCACACCAUGGGAGUCGGAAAUGCCCGAAGUCAGUGACCCAACCGUAAGGAGGGAGCUGCCGAAGGUGGAGCCGGUAACUGGGGUGAAGUCGUAACAAGGUAUC
RNAcentral lists this ribosomal RNA (215 nucleotides) under uncultured bacterium. RNAcentral's name for it is "partial 16S ribosomal RNA". It matches the Rfam family "Bacterial small subunit ribosomal RNA", at positions 1286 to 1500 of the family's 1533-position model. The record is from RNAcentral.